This is a long non-coding RNA of Cotesia glomerata, 781 nucleotides long. RefSeq lists it as uncharacterized. NCBI's taxonomy places the organism in Eukaryota, Metazoa, Arthropoda, Insecta, Hymenoptera, Braconidae. The record is from RefSeq and is a predicted model, not a curated record. The transcript is spliced from 2 exons.
AAUUAAUUAUUAUUUAAUAAACUUUUAUUACAUUAGAUUGCAUCCACAGCUGUGGUGGUAUAUUGAGCGAUUUAUUUGUGUGUGUCCGUGUGAGAUCUAUAGUCCGUUGGAUGGUCCCAGUUGUUAGCGCUUGGCGGUGUUGAGGCGUUUUUGGUUGCAGGUCUGCCGCCAGAGGCUCGACUGCGCUGACAGUACCGCCACAACCCUGAUUAUAUUAAAACUAGAAAUGACCUAGCCCUGUGUUAUGUCCUGCGAGGUUACUAGAUUCGCCGAUGAUGACACCUCGUGAACAAGUGGGUUGUUUAUUGUCACGCGGGAUUUUAUUUUAUAAUUUAAUUUGAAAUAUACUUAAAAAUGACUGAUUGAUAUUGUGUGGCAAGGUAUGAUUUUAAAUGAUAAGAGUUCAAUUGAACUUAAUGUUGAUGUUUAUUUAGAAAUCGGAGAGAUGGAGUGAAUAGUUACAGCUCUCGGGGAGAAGUGAAGUCACAAAGUCUCAACUCUGACUGCUCAGCUUCACGUUCCCCCACUAUGGUUACACGUAUACACCUAUACUAUUGCUAGAACUACCCUUAUACAUAGUGCGUAAUAUACUAUCUUACAUGUACUUAUAUAAACUUAUUUAUAUAUGACACUUAUUAUUUGCGGCUGCGGCCGGCUUACAUAUUCAUGUACCUGUAUUUACCUGGCUUUAAAUUCAGCACAGCGACCUAGGGAAACCGCAGAAAACCUGGUCGAGGCUUUUAAGGUAUUAUCUGCUCAAUAAAUUAUAUCAGAUGCGGAA